AUGCCCUCGGAUCGUGCGCCUGGGCCGGAUGGCUUCUCGGGCCUUUUCUACAAGGUGUGUUGGGAUAUUGUUGCCAAGGAUUUCAUGGCUAUCAUGCUUGAACUCUACAGGACCAAUUUUGCCUCUUUUGGUAGGCUUAAUUCCUCUAUCAUCACUCUAUUGCCCAAAAAGGAGUGCUCUCUGCAAGUGGCGGAUUUCAGACCGAUUAACUUAAUUCAUGGAGCUGCCAAAAUCUUUGCUAAAGUUCUAGCCGUACGUCUUGCCCCUUUGCCGCCAACACUUAUCUUGCAAGUUCAGAGUGCUUUCAUCAGCCGCAGGAGUAUUCAUGAGAACUUCAAAUUUGUUUGCAAUGCUGCGAGAAUUCUGCAUCGGAAGAAAUCUCCUGCAGUUCUUAUGAAGAUUGAUAUCUCCAAAGCCUUUGACACCUUGUCCUGGGAGUUCAUUGCUACAUCUUGA
This 456-nucleotide ribosomal RNA is filed under the name Triticum aestivum (bread wheat). RNAcentral describes it as "partial small subunit ribosomal RNA". The record is from RNAcentral. Lineage: Eukaryota; Viridiplantae; Streptophyta; Magnoliopsida; Poales; Poaceae.